UCAAGGUGUAACCAAAAACGUUUAUUGGGAGUGUUUGUGUUUGUAAAUAUGUUUUUAUUGAACAUUUCGUUAUUUUGGUUUUUGUUUGUUAUCAACAUGGAACAGGAAAACAUGGACACGCAGGUCCCAUUGGUCAUUUGUACAUGCUUAUACAUCGUAGGGCAUAGUCUGUCAGACGUGUCUUGGCGACUCGCAGGUUGCUUUCUUGAGUAAGUGGUGUGCAUUGUGGCCUCGCGGGUCCGGUAGUACAUAGUUACGAAUAGUACUCUGUUAUAUCUAAUGUGUACCUUUUCUACGUUGGGUAGUAUUGUAUG
Pelobates cultripes (western spadefoot toad) is the source of this 314-nucleotide non-coding RNA. The record is from the annotation of a GenBank genome assembly. NCBI's taxonomy places the organism in Eukaryota, Metazoa, Chordata, Amphibia, Anura, Pelobatidae.